RNAcentral lists this ribosomal RNA (120 nucleotides) under uncultured bacterium. Its description in RNAcentral is "partial 16S ribosomal RNA". It matches the Rfam family "Bacterial small subunit ribosomal RNA", at positions 215 to 334 of the family's 1533-position model. The record is from RNAcentral.
UCGCUAUUGGAUGAGCCCGCGUCGGAUUAGCUAGUUGGUAGGGUAAUGGCCUACCAAGGCGACGAUCCGUAACUGGUCUGAGAGGAUGAUCAGUCACACUGGAACUGAGACACGGUCCAG